This 78-nucleotide antisense RNA is filed under the name Streptomyces yokosukanensis. Its description in RNAcentral is "ASpks TB sRNA". It matches the Rfam family "ASpks TB sRNA". Lineage: Bacteria; Bacillati; Actinomycetota; Actinomycetes; Kitasatosporales; Streptomycetaceae. The record is from Rfam by way of RNAcentral.
CUUCAGCGAGCCCAGCCACAGCGGCCGGCCGUCGGCGGGCCGCUCCUGGCCGUAGGUGGCGAUCAGCGCCUGCGCCUC